This 313-nucleotide long non-coding RNA is filed under the name Brassica napus (rape). RNAcentral's name for it is "long non-coding RNA (BNAP_LNC011750)". The record is from RNAcentral. Lineage: Eukaryota; Viridiplantae; Streptophyta; Magnoliopsida; Brassicales; Brassicaceae.
AAAAUAACAUAAUAGAUAACUGAUCCUCUGUCAUUGCCAUAUAACAUGUCUGGCACUGCGACGUAAUGUAGUUACAAACAUCUUCAUACUACACCAAUUAUAGUUAACUCUUCAUAUCUUUGUACCCUUUGGUGUUCCCGAUGCGUAGAGAAACACGAGUGAUAUGUUUGUUGUAAGAUUCCUUUUCUUAACAACUUAUCGUCCAACACACAAACUCGGUUUCGGUACAAGUAUAUCCUGCUCAGAGCUGUAUGAUAUCCAAUACUCCCAAUCUCGAUCUGUUCAACCAAUCCAGAAUGCUAACUUGUGCUUG